UACGUAGGGUGCGAGCGUUAAUCGGAAUUACUGGGCGUAAAGCGUGCGCAGGCGGUUCGUUAAGUUCGUUGUGAAAGCCCCGGGCUCAACCUGGGAACUGCAAUGGAAACUGGCGGGCUUGAAUGCGGCAGAGGGGGGUGGAAUUCCGCGUGUAGCAGUGAAAUGCGUAGAGAUGCGGAGGAACACCGAUGGCGAAGGCAGCCCCCUGGGCUGACAUUGACGCUCAGGCACGAAAGCGUGGGGAGCAAACAGG
RNAcentral lists this ribosomal RNA (253 nucleotides) under uncultured bacterium. Its description in RNAcentral is "partial 16S ribosomal RNA". It matches the Rfam family "Bacterial small subunit ribosomal RNA", at positions 524 to 776 of the family's 1533-position model. The record is from RNAcentral.